This 548-nucleotide ribosomal RNA is filed under the name uncultured bacterium. RNAcentral's name for it is "bacterial SSU rRNA". It matches the Rfam family "Bacterial small subunit ribosomal RNA", at positions 848 to 1398 of the family's 1533-position model. The record is from RNAcentral.
CAAGCGAAAGCGUUAAGUAUUCCACCUGGGGAGUACGCCGGCAACGGUGAAACUCAAAGGAAUUGACGGGGGCCCGCACAAGCGGAGGAACAUGUGGUUUAAUUCGAUGAUACGCGAGGAACCUUACCCGGGCUUAAAUUGCACCCGAAUAAUCCGGAAACGGGUUAGCCGCAAGGCGGGUGCGAAGGUGCUGCAUGGUUGUCGUCAGCUCGUGCCGUGAGGUGUCGGCUUAAGUGCCAUAACGAGCGCAACCCUUGCCCACAGUUACUAACGGUUUACGCCGAGGACUCUGUGGGGACUGCCAUCGUAAGAUGCGAGGAAGGUGGGGAUGACGUCAAAUCAGCACGGCCCUUACGUCCGGGGCUACACACGUGUUACAAUGGGGGGCACAGGGGGCUGCUACCGGGCGACCGGCGGCGAAUCCCCAAAUCCCCUCUCAGUUCGGAUUGGAGUCUGCAACCCGACUCCAUGAAGCUGGAUUCGCUAGUAAUCGCGCAUCAGCCACGGCGCGGUGAAUACGUUCCCGGGCCUUGCACUCACCGCCCGUC